CAAGAAUUUUGAAGACAUCCAACUUCCAUUUUUUUUUCCUUCUACAAUUUGCAGAGAACUUCUAAGAGAGAGUUUGGAAGAUGAAGAGGAAUUUUACUAGAAUUUUGAGGUUGAAGAAGAGGAGGAGAACUCAAGCAAAGUGUAUCCAUGGCUGAAUUUUAGUUCAUUCUGCACAUCACUGGUUUUUAAUUCGGUUUGAACUCUUCAAAAGGAAUUAAGAGGGCAGUUGGUUUUCACUCGAAAUCAGGAGGUCUCUUGUUUUUCUUGUAUUUUAGAGUGUACCAGUGGAGUUAGAAUCUCUAUUUGUUAAAUUGUAGGGACAAGUUAAAGAGGUCAUGUGCGCGCGAUUCUAGAAGUGGUUCUGUUUCGAGGAUUAUCUGAGUUUAUGCACGGAGAAUCAGAUUUACAUGUCUUCAGAUAAGUUUUAGAGGAUUUCAAAAUGAAGAUUUUGAUAUAAAGAACACUCAUUUUGGUUAUGUAUUGAGAAGGUUAUAGUCCUUUGAAGUUUAUGUUAGAAAUCUGGAAAUUUCAGAGAAUUGUUGAAAUAGGAUUUUAUUUCUUAAGCUUUGUUUUCGCGAGCGUCAUCUUUGGUGCGACAUGUUAUGUAUAUCUUUAGAAAACUAGAAAGUUUAGAGUUUUAAUACUCGGUUGGGUUGUUGGCAGGCCGAGAAGAAUUAAACCGAGCUUAUAAACCAAGGAUCUAGCCCAAGACUCUAGAGAUCGAGUUCCCGAUGUCUGAUAGACUGCCUUAGUCUGCUGAAGCUCCAUUAUCAAUUGCAAGUCUUAAAAAACCUAAGCUAUUGGCUGAAGACAUAAAAUGAUAGUACAAAGUCAAAAGAGAAUCACAGUCUCAGUUGUUUAAACAAGUAGACAUGACCCAGACAAGAUAACAAAAUCCCAUCAAGAAGCUGUUAAAAAUCUCAUAUGGACCGGACAUGGCCAAUAUCAGACUGCUUCGAGUUAUCACUGGAAAAUCUUUCUGACAUUUCAGUAGAGCAACAGAAGAAAAAUUGGAAAGUGAGCUUGGCGAUGUGUUUUCCGGUAGCUGGAAAUGGUAGCCCCAGAAGUUUUCCACUGAUGAUUCUGUUUCAUUGAAAUCCUCUAACACACUCUCCGUCGCAUUAGAGAACUGGUUUAUGACUUCCAUAUUGAAGGUCAUUUCUUCAGAUGCUUUGGAAGACUUGAAGUGUUGCAGAAGUUCUCUUUUGAGAAGCAUAGCUAGACUACAGAUGAUAAGAAGCAGAAGCCGACUAAAUUAGCAGGUCUCACUUUUCUCUGAAGAGUUUGUUAUGGUCUCGGGUUGAAGUAUCUUCUUGCCCUCCAUGACUACGUCUCCUUUUGAUUCCACUCCAAAAUUUUGGUGAUAACCCUCACACAUCUCAACAACUUUAUCGUUUGAAUCAUCCUUCUUUACUUGUGGAAGAUCUCCAUCAUUUGGAAUUGGUUGGUCAUUUUUUCGGCAGUGGAUGAUUUUUCAUAUUUUUGAUAACUUGUGUUUGGUUCUUCCUUGCUCUUGCAACUUCAAUUGUUCGUUAAAUGAGAUGUCUUUCAAAUUGCGUAACUCAGACAGACUUUCUCAUAUAUUCUUCCAAAAUUUAUGAUGUUUAUUGGCACAA
This is a long non-coding RNA of Cucumis melo (muskmelon), 1616 nucleotides long. RefSeq lists it as uncharacterized. The transcript is spliced from 8 exons. The record is from RefSeq and is a predicted model, not a curated record. Lineage: Eukaryota; Viridiplantae; Streptophyta; Magnoliopsida; Cucurbitales; Cucurbitaceae.